GUAGGUGAACCUGCGGAAGGAUCAUUACAGAGAACAUGCCCUCCAGGGUAGAUCUCCCACCCUUUGUUUACCUUACCUUUGUUGCUUUGGCGGGCCCGUCUUACGACUACCGGCUCAGGCUGGUCAGCGCCCGCCAGGGGAUCUCAAAUUCUUAAUUUACGUCCGAGUUAGUAUAAAAUAUUUUAAAACUUUCAACAACGGAUCUCUUGGUUCUGGCAUCGAUGAAGAACGCAGCAUCUGACUGACUUCA
RNAcentral lists this unclassified non-coding RNA (250 nucleotides) under plant metagenome. Its description in RNAcentral is "partial contains small subunit ribosomal RNA, internal transcribed spacer 1, and 5.8S ribosomal RNA". The record is from RNAcentral.